UACGAAGGGGGCUAGCGUUGCUCGGAGUCACUGGGCGUAAAGGGUGCGUAGGCGGGUUCUUAAGUCAGGGGUGAAAUCCUGGAGCUCAACUCCAGAACUGCCUUUGAUACUGAGAAGCUUGAGUCCGGGAGAGGUGAGUGGAACUGCGAGUGUAGAGGUGAAAUUCGUAGAUAUUCGCAAGAACACCAGUGGCGAAGGCGGCUCACUGGCCCGGUACUGACGCUGAGGUGCGAAAGCGUGGGGAGCAAACAGG
Molecule: ribosomal RNA, 253 nt
Filed under: uncultured bacterium
Lineage: Bacteria
Description: partial 16S ribosomal RNA
Rfam family: Bacterial small subunit ribosomal RNA
Source: RNAcentral